GUGCUCAUUUUGGCAGCACAUAUACAAACAUUGGAAUGAACCAGAGAAGAUUACCAUGGUCCCUGUGCAAGGAUGACAUGCAAUUUCGUGAAGCAUUCCAUAUUUGA
Molecule: small nuclear RNA, 107 nt
Organism: Phodopus roborovskii (desert hamster)
Lineage: Eukaryota; Metazoa; Chordata; Mammalia; Rodentia; Cricetidae
Source: RefSeq, a predicted model, not a curated record